RNAcentral lists this transfer RNA (76 nucleotides) under Methanobrevibacter sp. RNAcentral's name for it is "tRNA-Pro". It matches the Rfam family "tRNA". From Rfam's summary of the family: Transfer RNA (tRNA) molecules are approximately 80 nucleotides in length. Lineage: Archaea; Methanobacteriati; Methanobacteriota; Methanobacteria; Methanobacteriales; Methanobacteriaceae. The record is from RNAcentral.
CGAGAUGUGGCUCAGUUGGUAGAGCGCGUGGUUUGGGACCACGAUGCCGCAGGUUCAAAUCCUGUCAUCUCGACCA